Non-coding RNA from Danio rerio (zebrafish), 245 nucleotides. NCBI's taxonomy places the organism in Eukaryota, Metazoa, Chordata, Actinopteri, Cypriniformes, Danionidae. The record is from RefSeq and is a predicted model, not a curated record.
GGACGUCUUUCAUGCAUAUGCGGAAUAUGCCUGUACCCCAGACGGAUGACUAUACAGUAGGUUGAUUACAAGUUUGCUCUGGCCGACAUGAUGAAAUAUUAAACGUCAUAAGCAUGAGGGGAAAGGUCUGAAGAAACAGAGGAAAUAAUACAGAUAUGAGAUCGACACACACCUGAUUGUGAGUGCUGGAGAUCCCGCAGAGGAAGACGAGGUCUGCGAUGAAGAGGCAGACGCUCAGAUGGAGG